Non-coding RNA from Peromyscus maniculatus bairdii (prairie deer mouse), 770 nucleotides. NCBI's taxonomy places the organism in Eukaryota, Metazoa, Chordata, Mammalia, Rodentia, Cricetidae. The record is from RefSeq and is a predicted model, not a curated record.
UGGGGAAGGGAGCUGAGCAGGCUGGUGUCGUGUUGGUAAUCCCAGCAUUUGAGAAGUGGAGGAGGAUUGAGAACAGCUUGAAUUACAGAGUGAGAGAGAAUGUGUCUCCAGCAAACAGAAGAACAAAGUGGGAUUGUUGAAAUCAUCUUCACACGUCAGACCUCUCCAGAAACACAGAAACAGCAGAAGGCGGGUAAAUUGGGCAGACAAGUAGAUCUCUACAAUAAGGUUUACAUCAUGUGUUUAUGAAGGACAGACCUGACUCUAAGCUGUAGGUACAGGAAAGCUGAACGUAAGUCAAACCUGAAGGCUCAAGAGUCAGGAGGCCAAAGGAGGACACCAAGGGAAGUAUUCCACAUUGAACGAGAAGCCUACUUGGAACCUAACAGUUCUUUCUAGAACAGAAUGCAGGACUCUUAUAAAAGGCAUUGGAUGAAGAGCUAGAAACAUGAAGUUCCAAGAAAAAAAAGAAAAAAGAAUGACCUGUGUUAAAGACUGGACAAGGCUCAUGGAUGAAAACCUCCAUGAUUUUGAAAAUUGGAACUCUGCAUCAAGUCGUAUAAUCUUGGACUGUCUUUAGCCAUGUUGCUAACUUAUUCAUUGCCUAUCUCUAUCUAACCUGGGUAGCACAUGGACCCUUAGGGAUGUGUUAGCAGAUAGCUUCUCCCAUCCCACAGGCUAAGAAUGUCAUCAGAGAGUGCCUGCAAUAUACAGCAAAGGCCUCCUGCCUCCCCCACACCCCCACCCCUUCACACCCCACCCCCACCCCC